RNAcentral lists this ribosomal RNA (253 nucleotides) under uncultured bacterium. RNAcentral's name for it is "partial 16S ribosomal RNA". It matches the Rfam family "Bacterial small subunit ribosomal RNA", at positions 524 to 776 of the family's 1533-position model. The record is from RNAcentral.
UACGUAGGGUGCAAGCGUUGUCCGGAAUUAUUGGGCGUAAAGAGCUCGUAGGCGGUUUGUCGCGUCGAAUGUGAAAACCCGGGGCUCAACCCCGGGCCUGCAUUCGAUACGGGCAGACUAGAGUUCGGUAGGGGAGUCUGGAAUUCCUGGUGUAGCGGUGAAAUGCGCAGAUAUCAGGAGGAACACCGGUGGCGAAGGCGGGUCUCUGGGCCGAUAUUGACGCUGAGGAGCGAAAGCGUGGGGAGCAAACAGG